AUGAACCGGGAUCAUAUAAUAUAAGUCUCCCUUUUGUCUUGUCUUUUGCUUUUAAGAAAACAAAUGAUUCAUCCAAGGGACCUAUCUUAAAUGCUUUUGAGAUAUACAAGUAUAUGGAGAUAAAUUAUGGAUCCCUAGACGCACUGACCAUGGAAAGCUUUGUAUCACAUUACCCAAAAGAAGUUUGGGCACAAGAAGGUGGAGAUCCAUGCUUACCAGCUCCAUGGUCAUUGGUUCAAUGUAAUUCAGAUCCGCAACCACAAAUUGUUUCAAUUAGACUAUCAGGGAGAAAUUUGACGGGGAAUAUACCUGCAGAGCUUGCUAG
Molecule: long non-coding RNA, 325 nt
Organism: Zingiber officinale
Lineage: Eukaryota; Viridiplantae; Streptophyta; Magnoliopsida; Zingiberales; Zingiberaceae
Exons: 3
Source: RefSeq, a predicted model, not a curated record